GCCGAGAUAGCUCAGUC
This 17-nucleotide transfer RNA is filed under the name Stenochlaena palustris. RNAcentral describes it as "partial tRNA-Phe". RNAcentral also lists the same sequence under 8 other names. Lineage: Eukaryota; Viridiplantae; Streptophyta; Polypodiopsida; Polypodiales; Blechnaceae. The record is from RNAcentral.